RNAcentral lists this long non-coding RNA (247 nucleotides) under Elaeis guineensis (African oil palm). RNAcentral's name for it is "long non-coding RNA (EGUI_LNC065305)". Lineage: Eukaryota; Viridiplantae; Streptophyta; Magnoliopsida; Arecales; Arecaceae. The record is from RNAcentral.
AAUUUAUUUUCUAAGAUCAGAAAAUCCCUAGAUCUAAGAUCUUAUUACAUGAUUAUUACAUAGCAUUAAAUCAAAAAUUAAAAUAUAUAUAAAUAUAGUAUGAACUACAUGUUGAUCAUAUCAACAUGUUUCUAUACUAGCUACAUCUAAUGUAUGUAUUAAAUAAUAGAUCAGAUCUAUUACCUUGCAAGUUAGACGCUCUAACCUCGUUGAUCCGGGCUUAAGGAUGAUGUUGCAAGCCGCACAC